Molecule: long non-coding RNA, 2259 nt
Organism: Rhodamnia argentea
Lineage: Eukaryota; Viridiplantae; Streptophyta; Magnoliopsida; Myrtales; Myrtaceae
Exons: 2
Source: RefSeq, a predicted model, not a curated record
GUCAAUCACAAGAAGCACAGCUCCAAGAUACUUAGGAGGAGCUCCAGUUCGCCAUUAGCCUCCAAAAAAAGAGAGACCAAGACGAGUUGGUGCAUAAGUUUGGUGUUCAUCCAAUGAAAACCGAGCCACUGUGCAUAUAUAUCUUCCACCAUCUCCCAGGAAGAAAGUCAUAUCUACUGUUGUUAUAAGUCCCUUUGAUCUCUCUCUCUCUCUCCAGAUCUCAACCCUGUGUCAUCUCCUUCAUCUUCUUCUCCUUCCUCCCUUUCAGUCUCUGAAGUUGAUUCUCAAGAAGUUCCACGCUUUUUCUUGAGCUCGCGGCUGUUCUCUUCUUGAUUCGCUUCUGUUCUUUCUUUUCCCUUUUGCCCCCAUUCCUAGAUCAGCUGCCAGCAUCACUUUUUGAUUAUCACUUGAACAACCCAGAAAUCGUUUUUUCUCUUAUCGGCCAGGAACUGAGCAAAGCCAACAUUUUGAAAUUUUCUUUUCUUCUUUUUGACCUGAGGAUCUAUGAACUCUGGGAAGCUGCCCCAAUCCUGAUGCAGCCAGUUGAUGUUGUGUAGUUGUUCUCCAACACUGAAAUCCGCAUCACCCGACUCUUUCUUUCUCGCUCAGAUUCUCUUCCUCAAAUUUUCCAAAAGAAAGCCGAAGUUUCGAUUUUUCUUUUAGCAGGCAGGACUCAGGAGAGAUGGGGUUCAUCUUCUUUUCUCUUCUCUUCCCGUCCUCCCCUAAUACUGGUUUCUGUACAUUUUGAUGGAGCAUCCGGGGGGGUGCUUAUGGAUCGACAGUCGUUGUUUGCGGGCGUAGCAUCAUCAAGAUUCACAUGCAGUUUUUGCAUCUUCCUCUCGGGGUAAGAUCACUGAAGAAUUUCUCUUGAAUUCAUGAUAAAAAUCGCAAAAGAAAGUUCCCCUGGAAGUGUGAGAAUCUUGAUGAUGCUGCAUCAGCAAUGAAACGACUCUUGUCAAGUAUAACACGAAGCACUGGCUCGCUCACGCCUCCCCAUUUCCCAUUUUAGGCCUUAACGAGGAGAAACUAACACUUGCCUUUAUUCAUCUGUACCGUAAACAUAUUUUAAUGCCCAUAGAGAAUCUGGGUAUGGAUCUAUCCGCACUGUGCUAAUUUUUUUCUACUGUUUGGUCUUGUACUUGGAGGAGGAAACCCUAAGAUUCUAUAGGCUUUUUUUUGGGGCAACUUGGGGGCUAUUCUCUGACAUUUUGCCAGAUUUAUUUUUGCUCUUCUGAGGAAAGAAGAGCUUUCAGUGGGAAAAUGGUAACUUCUCCAGCAGUUUUCCAUGACUUUUUCAUUGUUAUUGUCCUUAUUAGAUCUUGAAAGUGUCCCUGAAUAGUAGUUUCUUGAAAUGAAUGCAGGAAGCACAGUUUUGGCUGCAACUAAAGGGAGAAAAUUCAUUGUGACGUGUGCAGCAUUGUGAUUCAGGCAAUAACAUUGUUGAAAGAGGCCGAUCCAAAAGUUGGGAAGAGAGGUGAUAUGAAUACAGCUGUCUGAUUGGGGGCUUCUGGAAUGAGCUGAAACUAGCGAAGUUCAAUGGAAGUUUGCUUUGUGAUCUCUCUACAUCACACCUUCAAGUACGGUAAGUACCACUUCCAACGCAUGCGAAUCCAUUAGCUGCGCCUUCUAUUGAUAGUCGGGACAAAUUUUCGCACCUAACAAGCAGGGCUGGUCGCGUGAAAAUCCCGCCUUCCAAAUAGAAGUUAUCACUAGGAUGAAACUAGCGAAAUGUGCAUGUAGGUCAAUUGGACGAACUCGCGUUGCAAUGGAGGAAUCGUGAGGCGAACCUAAUCGAAAGGGAAAGAAUCCUCAAUGCAGUUUUUCACUUGGGGUCAAAGGUUUUAAACCUUGAUGUAGUUUCAGGGGUAUGCAUAUAUGGAAGGUGCACAGUUCUAUAUAUGUAACAUAUACAAUGCAAAUCAAGUGGGGAAAAGAAUGUCAUGUGAUCGCUGACAGCAACGUUGGUUGCUCGUCCUGAGAAGAAUUCAUCAUCCAUCACUCUCUUAAGUGGACCAACCAACCCACAAAUUGGGCAUCUCAAUACAUAUGGACCCUCAUUGACACGCUCGGUCCAGACCUCAGCUCCACCAGUUUUGCCUCUCCUCAAUAAUAGUACUCAAAAGCGUUUAAAGUUUCUUUCCCAAUGUCUUUACGUUGUUCAGAGAGUUAUCCUGCUGUGACAAUGGCGACUCGGUUCAGUUGAAGAGAUCAUGGAUAUCCGUGUGGCUCCAUCGUUAUCCAACUACCAUUUUAAGAUGC